Molecule: ribosomal RNA, 253 nt
Filed under: uncultured bacterium
Lineage: Bacteria
Description: partial 16S ribosomal RNA
Rfam family: Bacterial small subunit ribosomal RNA
Source: RNAcentral
GACAGAGGUGCCAAGCGUUAGGCGGAAUCACUGGGCCUAAAGCGUGUGUAGGCGGAUUUGUAAGUACCUUGUGAAAUCCCACGGCUCAACCGUGGAACUGCUCGGUAUACUGCUUAUCUUGAGCCACUUAGGGGCUACCGGAACAAAUGGUGGAGCGGUGAAAUGCGUAGAUAUCAUUUGGAACGCCAAUGGUGAAAACAGGUAGCUGGGAGUGUGCUGACGCUGAGACACGAAAGCCAGGGGAGCGAACGGG